GGGAUGGGCAUCCAGAUGGCCCCAGGAGGCUGGUUCUGGAUGGGUGGAACAGCAGCUCCGGAUGGGUUUCCCACGGGCUGUGCCUGGAAAGCAUAGGGCCCCGCUGCAGGCGUGCCUGAAAAGACAGGAGAGAUACAGUUAGGGAACUGAGGUCUUGAAAAAAGAAUUGUAUCGUGGAUCUUCAAAAGAAAAGAACAAAUCAACCGUUAUGAGCUAUGCAGAUUCCUCCCGCAGCGGGGAGCGCUCCGUCGUGCGGCGCCACGCCGCCAGGUGGCGCUGCAGCCCCGUGCUGGGAGAACGCUGACGUCGGUAAGCAGCUGCGGAACGGGAAGUGCGGGCUGCCGUCACUGCGGGCCGGGGAUAGUUCUGUAUUUUGCUCGGAAGCCCGCAGGAGCUUGCGAGGAGAAACCAGCAUGAAUACUUUCAUAGAAAGUGCGAAGACAGCUGUUUCCAGAGGUGCUGACUCAUAGACCUGGCGGUUACCCGUAGCACCAGUACCUCAUACUGCGUGUGUAAUAAAACACGGGCUGCUUUGCCUGAAAGGUGAUGCUGCGGCCAUAAACCAUGCAGCGCGUACAGGUGUGGCGUACAUCCCCUCAAUAUCAGCACUGCCCACCGCAGAUAAGGACCCACCCUCCUGCAGAGCUGACGGCUAUCACGCUGUGUUACCACCCGUGGUAUUCAGAUAAGACAGCCCCUCCCUGGCCUUUGGACCACGAGGAGCACGUGCUCAUUCCUUGAAGGCUGCGUACUCACAGAACUUGAAUUUCCUCGCUGAAAGACACGCAAGAUUUAACGUACACACAGCACAGAAACUUAAGCCAAACACUUUGCACUUCAUCAAUAAUUUAUGCCUGGAGCCCCAUAGGUACUGUUCAGUGUGAUCUGGCUCUUCAGCAAGCAGUUUGCCGCCAGAAUGAUAAGCUAUUUGUGGGUGCUGUGUUCUGAAUGGGGAACAGAAAACGAGAUUAAAAAGAAGAGGAAACAAAUGGAAAGUACGACCACAUGCAAAGUACAGCAACAGGAAAAGAAACAGAAACAGGAUCUACGCAGAUGGCAGAACCGUGAGAGGAGGACAGUCCUUCAGUUUUGGAUUACUACAGAAAAAUAAACUGAAGAACUGACGUAACAUUUAAGAACAAAUAAUCUGAUCAUCAGCAAGAAGCUGCCACACAUUGAUUGUGUUGCAUCUGUAACACUUCCCUAACAAACUCAACCCAGCGCCCACUGAGGAACACCUUGCAUUGCAGACUUCCUCCACUGCUGGCACUGCUCAGCACAUAUAAACAUGUAGCAACCGAGAAGGAAAGAGUCUGACUUUCCACCAGAACAGAUACUGACAGAAACGUUGCAGAAUUAAUACAGAAUUGUAAAUCAGAGGUGGCUGCCUUGAUGAAACCUCCUGCUUCCCAUGCACACCUCCUAACCAAACAACAGAUCUGUAGCCAGGCAACCUACCGUAGAAGUUCCCAGCUGCAUACUGCGGGUGGCCAUAGGGGGGCUGGUUUCCUGGUGCAUAGCCAGUAUUGGAGAAUUCAGGUCCUGGUGCCGGGUUAUUUGCUUGCAUUGCUGUGGAUCACUGCUGGAUCUGCUUGUAACCGUUCUUCAGAAGCACCCGGAGGAAAUCCUACGCGGCGAGCACACUCCCCAGCAGCGCCUGGAGACCGCUCCGCACUGCCGAAGCGCUCAGCGCGGCUCUUAGCCCAGCGCCGCGGGGCGGGCGCGGCCGGGAAGCGCCGCCGCCCCCGAGCACAGAGAGACCGGCGCGGCCGGGAAGGGGCACGGCCACGGGGGUGCUGAGCCCGGCGUGCGUCACGGCCCCGCCCGCGGCUCCCCCACGGAGCGGCCUCGGCCCGCUGCUGACCCGAGCUCGGCGCUGGUGGCGGAGCGCGAGGGCAAACACAAAAAGCCCUGGGUAUUUCUAGGCCUCGCAGGGCUCGAAAUUUAAAGCGGUACAGGCUCCCUCGGUGUAACUUCUGGAACUGAAGUCACGCAGGUGCUCUUUAAGGAGGUUUGGCUGUUCAGCUACUUGCUUCAAAUGCUAUUCAGCAAAACCAGCUGGCUUAGGGGAAAUAUUGCUCAAGAAGAAAGCAAAAUGAAGCUGUGCUUUUGAUUAGUCCGUAUACUGGAUGCACUGUUUCUGCACGUUUUCCUGAAGACUGAAAAAAGGCUGUGAGCAUCUUGAGUUGUUCUAACAGGAGCACAGCCAGUGGUUGGAGGGCAGCAAUUGCACUCCUAUACUUUGUAAUCCUAUGGUUCAAGGUGGAAUGCUGUGCCUGGCUAUGCCCCUGCCCUCCCUGUGCCGGAAGGACCUUGGCUUCUAACUUUGGACUCGGGUUAGGAGAGGGUUCCAGUACAGUCAAGGCUGCAGUGAGAAGAAGCAGACAACAUGGGGUUGCUUUUGCUUGGAGAAGAGGUGCCUGUGGGGAGACCUAAUAGCCACAUGCCCAUAUGUGUGGGGAAGACAUCAAGGUGAUCUAUGUCCCAGCCCUGGAGAUGCUCAAGGUUGGAUGGGCCCUGGGCAGCCUGAGCUGGUGGGUGGCAGUCAGCUCCCAGCAGGGCAUUGGAGCUGAGUGAUCUUUAAGGUCUUUUCCAAUCUAAACCAUUCUAUGAUUCUGUGAAAACACUGUUGAUUUAAGGAAGUGAUUGGCUUGCCUUUGGUUCAUUCCAGUGUGUGAUAGGGAACACGUUAAUGCUUACUGGUAUGAUGGUCCCAGUUGGAGAAAUACAGACAGCACAGAGGAUCCACGCUGCUUGGAGAAAUGCUGUUCUUAAGUCUGAGCAGGUUGAGAGUACUGGAAAGUUUCCUAUAAUUUUUAAAGCUGUCCCAAAUUAUUGUGCUUUCCAUGUAGGCCCUGGGGAGCCGCUCACCAUCCUUAAUCCAUGAGCAGCCCAUUGGUGACGGAGAAGAGGGAAGCUCAAAAAAGAGAACCAGGGAGCUGCUGGUGGUCUGUCAGAUAAGAGCAGCUGUAGUCUGGGGCCCAAAGGCUUGCCAUGCCUAUAUUUAAAUAAAUAAAUAAAUGAAAAGAAGAGACAAGGAAGAAGACAGUUACAUUACAGUUAUGUUUCUUCAAAAUUAGUUAGUGGAUGAUCUAGACAGGAAAGCGUUAAAUACUUCCUUACAGCUCAGCUACUUUUAUGGAAACUGCUUUGUUACAAAACUGUUGUAUGUUCCACAUGUUUACAGGUUAAAGAUUACCCACAGAUGCAGUUAACAUCAAUGUCACCUAGAUAAGCCAGGGAUGUAUUUUAUUGAAAGGCCUGGUUUUAUAAGGAUCAUUUUACAUAGGUCACUCAAAGUAUUUCUUUCUGCGAAAACUAUAAGAGAUACAAAAAGCACUAUUUGACAGAGCAAGAUCUCAGCUUCGAAACACUGUUUUUCAACACCAUCAGCUGUGCAUUUUCACCAGCAACAAACAAGAGCCUGCAUGCAGCACACAUACAUAUUUCCAUCUCUAGGCUGCUACAAUCUUUUUCUUUCAUUAUACAUUCCUACUUCAGAAGGCUUAGGAGUACUUUCAGACAAGUAGUAAUAGAAAGUAAUCCUGUUUGAUAAAUCGAACAAAGCUAGAAAUAAAAAAUGCAUUUACACAAGAAGGAAAAAGAUAUUCUGCACCUUUAUUGUUAAGGAUUGGCUACCUAAUUCUUAAAUCUGAUUCAUC
This 3662-nucleotide long non-coding RNA is filed under the name Gallus gallus (chicken). Lineage: Eukaryota; Metazoa; Chordata; Aves; Galliformes; Phasianidae. The record is from RNAcentral.